UACGUAGGGUGCAAGCGUUGUUCGGAAUUAUUGGGCGUAAAGCGCGUGUAGGUUGCUAGGUAAGUCGAUUGUAAAAGCCCUAGGCUCAACCAAGGAAGUGCAUUCGAAACUACCUAGCUAGAGGAUGGCAGAGGAAGGUGGAAUUCCAAGUGUAGAGGUGAAAUUCGUAGAUAUUUGGAGGAAUACCGGCGGCGAAGGCGGCCUUCUGGACCAUUCCUGACACUGAGACGCGAAAGCGUGGGGAGCAAACAGGAUUAGAUACCCUGGUAGUCCACGCUGUAAACGAUGGGUACUAGAUGUUGCGGGAAUUGACCCCUGCAGUGUCGACGCUAACGCAUUAAGUACCCCGCCUGGGGAGUACGGCCGCAAGGUUAAA
Molecule: ribosomal RNA, 376 nt
Filed under: uncultured bacterium
Lineage: Bacteria
Description: bacterial SSU rRNA
Rfam family: Bacterial small subunit ribosomal RNA
Source: RNAcentral